RNAcentral lists this ribosomal RNA (1096 nucleotides) under 'Manihot esculenta' witches'-broom phytoplasma. RNAcentral's name for it is "bacterial SSU rRNA". It matches the Rfam family "Bacterial small subunit ribosomal RNA", at positions 202 to 1300 of the family's 1533-position model. The record is from RNAcentral. Lineage: Bacteria; Bacillati; Mycoplasmatota; Mollicutes; Acholeplasmatales; Acholeplasmataceae.
UAAAAGACCUAGCAAUAGGUAUGCUUAGGGAGGAGCUUGCGUCACAUUAGUUAGUUGGUGGGGUAAAGGCCUACCAAGACUAUGAUGUGUAGCCGGGCUGAGAGGUUGAACGGCCACAUUGGGACUGAGACACGGCCCAAACUCCUACGGGAGGUAGCAGUAGGGAAUUUUCGGCAAUGGAGGAAACUCUGACCGAGCAACGCCGCGUGAACGAUGAAGUAUUUCGGUACGUAAAGUUCUUUUAUUAGGGAAGAAUAAAUGAUGGAAAAAUCAUUCUGACGGUACCUAAUGAAUAAGCCCCGGCUAACUAUGCGCCAGCAGCCGCGGUAAUACAUAGGGGGCAAGCGUUAUCCGGAAUUAUUGGGCGUAAAGGGUGCGUAGGCGGUUAAAUAAGUUUAUGGUCUAAGUGCAAUGCUCAACAUUGUGAUGCUAUAAAAACUGUUUAGCUAGAGUAAGAUAGAGGCAAGUGGAAUUCCAUGUGUAGUGGUAAAAUGCGUAAAUAUAUGGAGGAACACCAGUAGCGAAGGCGGCUUGCUGGGUCUUUACUGACGCUGAGGCACGAAAGCGUGGGGAGCAAACAGGAUUAGAUACCCUGGUAGUCCACGCCGUAAACGAUGAGUACUAAACGUUGGGUUAAACCAGUGUUGAAGUUAACACAUUAAGUACUCCGCCUGAGUAGUACGUACGCAAGUAUGAAACUUAAAGGAAUUGACGGGACUCCGCACAAGCGGUGGAUCAUGUUGUUUAAUUCGAAGGUACCCGAAAAGCCUUACCAGGUCUUGACAUGCUUCUGCAAAGCUGUAGAAACACAGUGGAGGUUAUCAGUUGCACAGGUGGUGCAUGGUUGUCGUCAGCUCGUGUCGUGAGAUGUUGGGUUAAGUCCCGCAACGAGCGCAACCCUUAUUGUUAGUUACCAGCACGUAAUGGUGGGGACUUUAGCAAGACUGCCAGUGAUAAAUUGGAGGAAGGUGGGGACGACGUCAAAUCAUCAUGCCCCUUAUGACCUGGGCUACAAACGUGAUACAAUGGCUGUUACAAAGGGUAGCUGAAGCGCAAGUUUUUGGCGAAUCUCAAAAAACAGUCUCAGUUCGGAUUG